This 468-nucleotide ribosomal RNA is filed under the name uncultured bacterium. RNAcentral's name for it is "partial 16S ribosomal RNA". It matches the Rfam family "Bacterial small subunit ribosomal RNA", at positions 28 to 507 of the family's 1533-position model. The record is from RNAcentral.
AACGAACGCUGGCGGCGUGCUUAACACAUGCCAGUCGAACGGAAAGGCCCUGCUUUUGUGGGGUGCUCGAGUGGCGAACGGGUGAGUAACACGUGAGUAACCUGCCCUUGACUUUGGGAUAACUUCAGGAAACUGGGGCUAAUACCGGAUAGGAGCUCCUGCUGCAUGGUGGGGGUUGGAAAGUUUCGGCGGGUGGGGAUGGACUCGCGGCUUAUCGGCUUGUUGGUCGGGUAGUUGCUUACCAAGGCAUUGGCGGGUAGCCGGCCUGGGAGGGUGGCCGGCCACAUUGGGCCUGAGGUACGGCCCAGUCGCCUACAGUGGGCAGCAGGGGGGAGUAUUGCACAGUGGGCGGGAGCCUGAUGCGGCGACGCCGCGUGCGUGAUGACGGCCUGCUGGUAGUAAAACGCUUUCGCCUGUGACGAAGCGUGAGUGACGGUAAUGGGUAAAGAAGCACCGGCUAACUACGUG